Sorghum bicolor (sorghum) is the source of this 5524-nucleotide RNA transcript. It is a transcript of the gene named cyclin-T1-4, with no coding region annotated. The record is from RefSeq and is a predicted model, not a curated record. Lineage: Eukaryota; Viridiplantae; Streptophyta; Magnoliopsida; Poales; Poaceae. The transcript has 5 exons.
CCAUCUAGGUUACCAUCUAUGUCAAGUAUGCAAGUAUACAUAGAGUAUAUGGUUAUACUUAUUUUAUAUAGUACUGCAGUGGUAUCUUAGUAAUACAUUAAAAAAUAUGGGUUCUUUUGAAAAAAAUUCGCAUACUAAGAUUUGAAGUAUCUUAUAAAAUAAGCAUAUAAACAUACUCAAACUGAUAAAUUAGAUAAAUUAGUACGUAAUGUAGUUUAUUGAAGAUGGAAUAACUACUCUCCAGAGAAUAUAGAAAACACAUCAUAGAUGGUUUAGUAUGAGCAUGUACUACAUCUACAUACACUUCAUCGGGCCAUCUACGCCCUAAAUUUAGAGAUAUACACAUGGCAGUAACUACUCCCUGGGAGUAGGAAAUAAUUUAUAUAUAUACAUUUGACUUGCUAGGAAUGCGCAUUUGACUUGAUUUGACUUGCUCUUCAUUAUAACCAUAAUAUAAAGUAUAUAUGCAAUGUUGAUUUCUGCUGUUAUACACUUAUCUGCUUAAUGUUGAGUCUGAUUUUGUUGUUUUCAUGAUGACCAAAGUUUAUUUUAACAUCGCAGUUGGUUGCGACCGCAGCCUUGUUCCUGGCGGCAAAGUCAGAAGAAACAGCAUGCCUUUUGAAUACUGUUCUUAGGGCUUCAUGUGAGAUUUCUCAAAAUCAAGAAUUCAAUCUGUUUCGUUACAUGCUAUGUGGUCAGGAUUGGUUUGAACAGUACAGAGAGAGUGUAAUACAGACAGAGCAAAUGAUACUUACAACACUUGAUUUUGAACUUGAAGUAACCCACCCAUAUGCUGCCCUAUCCUCUGCUUUGGGCAAACUGGGACUCUCCCAUACUGUUCUACUUAAUGUGGCUUGGAAUCUGAUCAAUGAAGGUUAUUAUAGGAAACAGCCAAGUUAUCUUGUAAAACUUUCACUCUAGUGGACACCGUGAGAAUUUUGAUAGACACGAGCUUUGUCAUAUUGCAAUCUCCGCUGUUUGGAUAGCUCCUCUAAAUAUACCUGGGCACUAUACUUGGGUCUUUAAAUAAUAUCUUGCAAAUAUUUAGAUGGCACACCAUAUAGUGGUCAUCAAUGCUGUUCCAGUCUGGCACAAAGACAAAAAAAAAGGAACGUUCAUACAAAAAAAAUCUGUGGAUUUGUAGUUAGUUGGACUGGAAAGAAGUUACAAUACACAGUUCAUAGGAUCACAGUUUACCCACUAACCACAUCUGAAGGACUGCAUAUUGGUUGUUCUUUCUGCACUCUGCAUUUCUAGACUAGAAUGUGGUCUGUGCAAUGCUGGGUGACAUUGGAUGAAGUAAAUUCUUAUAGACUUUAAGGGUGGUUUGACUAUAAUGUGAGAUCAAAUUAUUUUCAAGAAUAUAAUAUCCGCGUUGUUCACUCCACUUGUCACAGAAUAAGUGCCUAUGAAUAUCUUCAACUCUGUCAACCAACACAGAGUAACUAGUUACUUGUGGUUUGCUCAAUUGCUGUCGGUGCCGGCUUGCAGUAUUUUCUUGUUGGUGUUGGCGUGUACGAAAAUAUGGAUGGAACUUCUUGCAAAACUCACUGAAGUUGUGUAAUAGAUUUUCCAGAUUUGGUCUUUGUGUAUUCUUCAUCAACACUUUUUAAUCCAUACAAUAGUUUUGUCUAUCCUGAUGUAUCUGUACCUUUCAUGAUUAAUAAAAAAAUAUGUUUUCCACUGUAUGGAGAUUUAUCCAACUGCAGUGAGAAUAUUAAAUUAUUAAUUCCUGAGUUAUCUUUCUUACUAUGCUCUACUCCCUCUGUUGUUUUUGGUUUCCGUGCCGUAAGUUUAGAAAAUGCGUGCAACAUUUGUAUCUCCAAAUAAAUUUAAUAUUAAAAUAGAUUCAACGUUCUAUCUAAUGAUAUUAAUUUAUUAAUUUUGUACCAUAAAUACUAAUACAUAUAUAUAUAUAUAUAUGUCAAAGUAGUUUCUUGGGAAGCAAAAUGACAAUUCCAUUGUGAUGUGAAUCUCGGACUUGAAAUCUUUCAUGGGGAUGUUGCUCAUUGAUGGUGUGGGUAUUGUAGUAAAUGAAUUUGCAAAUAAAUUGAUUAUUAUUAGGGGUGAAUAUUAAGAAAUUGCUGGGAUUCAUGUCAAACCGUAGAAGGUGUUCAGGAGCAAACUGAAAAGGCUAGAAAGGUAUACAUUUGGGAGAAGUGACAAUGUUUUUGGAUGCAAAUUUGCUAAGCUUGCAUGUCAUAUACACUUCUUAUUUUGUGCAUCAUUCAUCUUCAGGGGUAACUAACUUCAUCUGAAAUCUGAUAUGUAAUUGCAUUUUUUGAUGUGAUUACAAAGUUUGCAAACAUGGCAAAAUAUUGAUGGGGCUGUACUCUUUUGAUCAGUAAAUAAGAUUUUUAAAUGAUGUCAAUUGACAGAUGCACUGCUAGAUAUUAGAAAAACACUGCUGGGCUUUUCAUGUGUCAGCUUCAAGUUUGAUGAGCCAUUUUACUGGAUUGCUUGUUUUUAUAUUCUCAGUGUGAAGCUUUUAGAAGGUUAUUUUUUUUAUAUUCUACAGCCAUUGACGUUGUAUUUCACUGCUACUUUACUAAAUGUUCACUGUAAUUUAAGUUACUAGAUUUUGGGGCAAUGAGCGUUUGCAUGCAGGCCAUUACUUUUUUUUCCCGACAACACAUUUAUGGAAAUGAACAUCAAACAAAUAAUAGAUAAGUACAUUUGACGAUAAUUAGUCUAUCAAUGGCAUUCUCAAAUACCAAGUGACAGACUUGAAUACUUUGAUGUAUAAUGAUAAUUAAGUAGUGGUAGGAAUUUUAAAGUUUUACUAUAUAUGCAUUAUGGUCUAUUUGGUUGCCUGCAUAUUUGCAUAACCCCUUAUCCAGGGCCCCGCAGUGCAAUUGGUCCCUGUUUGGUUACCUUCACAGGUCCAUAUGCAGGCUAGCACUGUCCUCAAAGCAAGCUCAGCAUGCCACUAUUCAGCCAAAUCCUUCCUGUCCAGCUAUGCACCCUUCCUCUUGCACCCGCACUCAUUCCAAGACACAGUCCAGCCACUUAUGCAGGAAACCAAUCACACACAUAGCAUUGUACAGCUUCCUGUCUAGGCAAACGAAACAACAUCAAAUUGCAUUGCAUUGUCCAGGUUAAGAGUAUGAUGCAUAACCUCUAAUGCAAUGCAAUACUAAUGCGAGUAACCAGUCAGAACCUAUGAGUGGUACAAAAUAUUUGUGGUUCACAUAGUGUUGUUGGGUAUCUGUCAUUUUAGUUAUUGGAUUUUUGUAUGAUACCACAUUAUUAUUCUUUUUGGUGUUUCUAUCUACAACUUUGUCACUUUGCAGAAAUACUCUUAGGGCUAGGUGGACAGAUUGUUGUCCUUAAAUUUUCUGGUUAAUUCGAUUCAUCACAUUAUUACCUCUAUCACAACCUUUUCCUUACAUGGUGUCUGAGAUGCAAACUCUGAAACUAAAAUUGUACUCUAUGGUUUGGUGUCUCUGAGUAAGUGAUCAAUUACAAGAAAUUCGAUGGCAUGAUUCCCAUAAUCAACAGGAAUAUUUCAUUGGCUGGAGCACUUAAAUAUAUUUAUGGGCAUUUAGCACCAGAAUUCCUAGUUCCAUUGAUUCUUUGAUUCAUGUUGGGCAACUCAAUAGGUUUAGUUCCAAUAGGUUGCCUACAAAUUCAUGUCCUUCUGAUGUGGCGUGAAUUGCUUAUGUGUUAUGCAACUUGUUUGUAAAAUACCAUGCUCAACUGUGACAAUAUUGGCAAAGGAUUGGUUUGGUGUUCUUGAAAGAACAUCUUUAGAUCCAAUAUAAUGGUAACCAUAAUUUGCAACAACUAUAAGGAAGAAAGUUAAGACACAUGAUAUCCACGUGAACAUCUAUAUUACGUAAUAUUUUUAAAAGGGCUAGUCUGGCGGAUGGGCUCUGCAUUGCUCCAGUAGGCGUCAGUUAGGUGUUGCUACACAUUUGUAUUUUUUUGUGGAUGGUUAGAGUAAUGCCAUGCUAAAUAAAGGAAAUGGAGAAUCUGAAAAAAAGAUAUUACCAUGCAUUCAUGAGUAAUUUGUUUGUAGUUCACCUUUUUCCAUCUCUGACUGUCCCAUUAUCACACAUAUCAAGCUCAAAAUAUCUCUACCUGGGAAAUAGCCAGGACAAAAUGCCUAGGUGGUAGCAACACCUAGCGCUAUUGCCACCUUUUUAAACAGAAAUAUUACAUAUGGCCCACAGGUGAGGCUACAAUGCUGGUGUAGUGUAUCAGUCUGAAACUUCACCACUGUGCAAGCCAACUUGCAGUGAGAGAGCAUAGGCCUGACUGUUUACUGCUUUUGUUAUGAGUUAGUACAGAUAGUGUUGGGCCUCAUGGGUUAGUAAUUUCUUGUCUACCAGACUACCAGUUCAUGUAACAGAACUAUUUGACAUUUUAAAUCUCAGCUUGCAUAUUUGUAAAGAACUUUUCACGUUUACAAUUGAUCAGCUCCUCUUUAUUAUAUCCUAUGCAUUGAAUAAAUUUUCUGUUUCAUGCAGAUCUCCCUGUGAUUUUUUGUAUUCUUUGUGAGACCAUAAAUUUUGCAUGAAUUGGUCAUCAUUAGUGGUUCCAUCAUAAAUGGGCCACAUUAUUCCAUGUACCAAAGACUACCUUGAAAUGGCAAUGACAUUUUGAUAUGAUGUGCUCAUCCUACUUGAUUAUAGACAAUACCAACUCGGGAAUCAAUUAGCAAACAAAAACACAGCUUAGGCUCUGGUGGUCUUUUGGUCAAGUUUCCUUUAGCCUUCUAGGGGGUGUGAGUGGGUGUUGGGUUGGGCUUCUCUAGUUCGGCCAUUGUACUCUUUUCUCUAUCUUAAUAAAAUGACAUGCAACUCUCCUGUUUGAAAACAAAAUACCUGUAAAUGCCUGAGUUGGUCUUUGUUGUUUCUUUUGUGCCAUGCAAAUAAACUGUUAUUUUCAAAUGCCUUUUGCAAUUCCAGGAGCGGCAUAUGCCGCUGGAGUUGUUAUAUGGUCAAAGAAUUGAUGAUUUAUGUGUGGCAAGGUGCAUGCCUAAUUGCUAGAUUUUAGCAAUAAGGCAAUUGCUGCAGAAGGUUCUUCCAUAAUGUGAUACCUGGCAUCUUUUAGUGGCUACAAAGUUCACUUUGGCUUCAGUUCAAACCCCAUCAUAUUGCUGCUGGGGCUGCAUUCCUUGCUGCAAGGUUCCUCCACUUUGACAUCACAUUCCAUCCAAAUUUCUGGCAUGAAUUCAAGACAAGUCCAUACUUUGUUCAAGAUGUUGUCCAGCAGUUGAAGGAGCUACUUUAGGAUACAAUAUUCAAUAUAUUUGCAUAAUACACAGAGAUCCUCUUAGUUUAUAUGUUGUAGUGAGUAGUAACCACUGCCAAAAGUACGAACACAUUGGGAUGUGGUCACUUUCAUCCAUUACUGAACAUCUUUCAUUUGGUUUUACAAGAGUGCUUCUAUGUACAAAAGGGGAAGAUCUUAUUCAAAAGUUGCCCUUGAAGUUUUUGGGAAGUAAAAGCAAACACUCUUUAUUAGUAGAAGAAUUUGUGAUGCUUGAAAAUGUUUAUGGAAUUCCUUUUAGUCUGCA